RNAcentral lists this ribosomal RNA (200 nucleotides) under uncultured eubacterium A17-K1. Its description in RNAcentral is "partial 16S ribosomal RNA". It matches the Rfam family "Bacterial small subunit ribosomal RNA", at positions 368 to 561 of the family's 1533-position model. The record is from RNAcentral.
GCAAUGGGCGAAAGCUGACGGAGCAACGCCGCGUGAGURAUGAAGGUCUUCGGAUCGUAAAACUCUGUUAUCAGGGAAGAACAAAUGUGUAAGUAACUGUGCACAUCUUGACGGUACCUGAUCAGAAAGCCACGGCUAACUACGUGCCAGCAGCCGCGGUAAUACGUAGGUGGCAAGCGUUAUCCGGAAUUAUUGGGCGU